GGAAGGUGGGGAUGACGUCAAGUCAUCAUGGCCCUUAUGAGUAGGGCUACACACGUGCUACAAUGGCGCAUACAAGGAGAAGCGACCUCGCGAGAGCAAGCGGACCUCAUAAAGUGCGUCGUAGUCCGGAUCGGAGUCUGCAACUCGACUCCGUGAAGUCGGAAUCGCUAGUAAUCGUGGAUCAGAAUGCCACGGUGAAUACGUUCCCGGGCCUUGUACACACCGCCCGUCACACCAUGGGAGUGGGUUGCAAAAGAAGUAGGUAGCUUAACCUUCGGGAGGGCGCUUACCACUUUGUGAUUCAUGACUGGGGUGAAGUCGUAACAAGGUAACCGUA
RNAcentral lists this ribosomal RNA (337 nucleotides) under uncultured Pantoea sp. RNAcentral describes it as "bacterial SSU rRNA". It matches the Rfam family "Bacterial small subunit ribosomal RNA", at positions 1168 to 1504 of the family's 1533-position model. Lineage: Bacteria; Pseudomonadati; Pseudomonadota; Gammaproteobacteria; Enterobacterales; Erwiniaceae. The record is from RNAcentral.